Molecule: unclassified non-coding RNA, 903 nt
Filed under: Hevea brasiliensis (rubber tree)
Lineage: Eukaryota; Viridiplantae; Streptophyta; Magnoliopsida; Malpighiales; Euphorbiaceae
Source: RNAcentral
CUACUCUCUGCAACCCCCUCUCUGCAAUUUGCAACAAAGCCACCCUCCUCUGCUCAGUGUUCCCUUUCAACUUGUUCAAACUCUUCUCCACUGCCUCCUUCUCCAACAAGGCAACCCUUAACAAAGUAUUGAUAUCGCGAUUCUCCUCUGUCAAACUCACUAGACUAUUCUCCAAUUCCCUUAUCUCAAUCUUCUUCCUCUCCUUAAACUCAUUCACUUUUGAUUUUGCAUCGUUUGCUAACCUUGCAAUUGGCUUGAAUUCUUCCCAAAUUGCCCUUGAUCCACUGUCUAGUUCCAUUUCUACACUACCCUCAUCGUUAUUCAUCUUCUCAAUCACUUCCUCAUCAUCGACACACUCUAUGAUUCCGACCAAACAAUCUUUCACUGGCCUAAGAGAAUCCAAAGUCUUCAAAAAAAGCUGAUUCUUCCCUUCCACCUCCUUUAUCUUAAAUUCCAACUCUUCAAUCGCCCCCUUGACAGCUUCCACUUCCUUUCCAAGUUCUUCAUUUCUCAAAGAUUCCUGAUCGAUUGUUUUUGCAAACUCGUCUUCCCUUUCUUUAAAAGAGAUCUCAAGUUCACGAAUUUGUCCUUGAAGAGAGUCCCUUUCUCGCGUAGUUUCAUUGAUAACUGUUUUGAGAUCGACGUUGUGGUCCAGUGCCUCGUCUCUCUGCUGCUGGACAAGAAGGAGAUUUUCCUCCAUAAUGGAGUAUUUCGAUUGAAGGGUCUCAUAAGAUUGGCGGAGAGACUGGAGCUCAGCAAGAAGAUCAUCGUGAUUGUCUAUUUGGGGAUUGAUUGGGGAAUCGGUGCCGUUGAUUUGCGGUUGUUGGUGGUUCUCGGAGGUGGUGGUUUCCAUGGUCCAUAGAGUACAGGAUGAUUAGGGAUCUUCGAGAGAGAGAAGCUAAU